RNAcentral lists this ribosomal RNA (502 nucleotides) under uncultured bacterium. Its description in RNAcentral is "partial 16S ribosomal RNA". It matches the Rfam family "Bacterial small subunit ribosomal RNA", at positions 29 to 507 of the family's 1533-position model. The record is from RNAcentral.
AGCGAACGCUGGCGGCGUGCCUAACACAUGCAAGUCGAACGUGAAAGGGAGCAAUCCCAAGUAAAGUGGCGUACGGGUGAGUAACACGUAGGUAAUCUACCCCAGAAUCUGGAAUAACCGGCCGAAAGGCUGGCUAAUACUGGAUAGAGCGACGGAAUCCGUAAUUGGGUUUUUCGGGAAAGGGAGCCUGUAAAAAGGCCUUCGUUCUGGGAUGAGCCUGCGUCCCAUCAGCUAGUUGGUGAGGUAAAAGCUUACCAAGGCAAUGACGGGUAGCUGGUCUGAGGGGACGAUCAGCCACACUGGAACUGAAACAAGGUCCAGACUCCUUCGGGAGGCAGCAGUGGGGAAUCUUGCGAGAUGGACGGAAGUCUGACGCAGCAACGCCGCGUUAGGGAAGAAGGCCUUCGGGUUGUAAAGCUCUGUCUGGUGGGACGAAAAUGCUUGGAGUUCACAGCUCCAGGAACUGACGGUACCACUAAAGGAAGCACCGGCUAACUCCGUG